UAAGCCUAAAUACUUCUUGGUGACCGAUAGUGUAUCAGUACCGUGAGGGAAUGGUGAAAAGUACCCCGGGAGGGGAGUGAAAUAGUACCUGAAACCGUGCGCCUACAAGCGGUCGGAGCCUGUUAAAGGGUGACGGCGUGCCUUUUGCAUAAUGAGCCUACGAGUUACUCCUCACUGGCAAGGUUAAGUCUGUUGACGGACGAAGCCGUAGCGAAAGCGAGUCUGAAUAGGGCGAAAGUCAGUGGGGGUAGACGCGAAACUUUGUGAUCUACCCAUGACCAGGAUGAAGUGUCAGUAACA
Molecule: ribosomal RNA, 300 nt
Filed under: Climacostomum virens
Lineage: Eukaryota; Ciliophora; Heterotrichea; Heterotrichida; Climacostomidae
Description: partial Bacterial large subunit ribosomal RNA
Rfam family: Bacterial large subunit ribosomal RNA
Source: RNAcentral